GACGAACCGUGCGAACGUUGUUCGGAAUCACUGGGCUUAAAGGGCGCGUAGGCGGCUCCUCAAGUCGGGGGUGAAAUCUUUCGGCUUAACCGGAAAAGUGCCUCCGAUACUGGGGAGCUCGAGGGAGGUAGGGGCGGACGGAACUUCCGGUGGAGCGGUGAAAUGCGUUGAUAUCGGAAGGAACGCCGGUGGCGAAAGCGGUCCGCUGGCCCUCCACUGACGCUGAGGCGCGAAAGCCAGGGGAGCAAACGGG
This 253-nucleotide ribosomal RNA is filed under the name uncultured bacterium. Its description in RNAcentral is "partial 16S ribosomal RNA". It matches the Rfam family "Bacterial small subunit ribosomal RNA", at positions 524 to 776 of the family's 1533-position model. The record is from RNAcentral.